UUAGCUCCAAUAAAUUAUGAACCCUUUGCACUCCUAUGAACAUCCUCCCAUGGGCAACUCCAAAGACAACUCCAUUCAGCCCACGUUUCCUUCUGUGCAAGCUCAUGAAUGGAUCCCACAAAAGUCAUGUUUCAUUCCUAUCACUGUUAAUUCAUAGCAUUGCCUAAGCUGUUUUCUGCAGUUCUACUAAUUUGAAACAUCAAUUGAAGGAGCCGUUCCCAAUGAUCUCUUAGAUCAAUACGCUAUCUGGAGAUUUUUCAUCAUCUUUAAUUCUCCUCCAAUUUUAUUUUUAUUAUUUUUGAUAUGUUGGUGGUGGGAAUGUUGGGCGAAACGCUAAGUUGAGGCAUCGGCCCUUCUCUGGGAUCUUUGCCCCUGGAAAUGUUCACGUUUUCUCGAGCUUGGGCCACCUAGCUUGAACUUGGCUUGAAGAAGGGAGGUAAGUUUGAGCAUGGACUGGCGUAGCUUGUUUACUUAAGCAAGCCCAAACAGAAGUCAAGUGCAUAUUAACAAGCCCCAUAAUCUUACUAAAGCAAGCCAGAAAAAAGGGCAGGUCAAUCUACAAGCAAGGAAAUCAUAAGCUCUAAUUCUAUGCUGCAAGCUUUAUUAACAGGAAAAGGUUUCUAUGCUUCCUCUACAUCUACUGCAUAGAAGAAACGUGCUUUCCCCCAUCCAGCCGUUCAAUUUAGAUCAAGUGAGCCAUUGAUCAUUUGAUUUAGAUCCAAUGCCGCAGAGUAUUACUUUUGUUUCUACAAAUUUUGUGAAUAAGAAAUUUGGUACGUGUCAUCAUCAUAAUGGGGCGCAAUUAAAAAUAUAUUUUAAAAUACUUUUCGAUAAAAUAUAAUGACCAAAAUAUCAUUGGAAAUUUUAUUUUGAUUAUUUUAUUUUGUUGAGAAUAUUUUUUUUAUAUUUUUUACCGGUGCAACUUUAAGAGAGGAGUGGACCCACAAAAUUUAGUUUCAAAAUAGUUUCUAAAAAAAUUAUUAAAAAUAGUGUAAAGUCUGACAAUGUAAUUGGGGUCAUAUUUGCCAUCCAUUUAGAAUGGAUGGUUGGAUAGGGGAAAGCAUAGAAAGCUGUUAAUUAAAUAUGGAUAUCAAACCCACUCAAACCAAGUACAAUCGAAGAUUACCUUAAAAUGCC
RNAcentral lists this long non-coding RNA (1137 nucleotides) under Amborella trichopoda. Its description in RNAcentral is "long non-coding RNA (ATRI_LNC001943)". Lineage: Eukaryota; Viridiplantae; Streptophyta; Magnoliopsida; Amborellales; Amborellaceae. The record is from RNAcentral.